Gallus gallus (chicken) is the source of this 835-nucleotide long non-coding RNA. RefSeq lists it as uncharacterized. The record is from RefSeq and is a predicted model, not a curated record. NCBI's taxonomy places the organism in Eukaryota, Metazoa, Chordata, Aves, Galliformes, Phasianidae. The transcript is spliced from 4 exons.
AACAACAGAAGUGAAACUGAAAUUAGUUCUGUUCUGUCUUGAGUUGGCAGUGUUUCUCCAAUUCCAGUAACUAAUGCAAGGAACUAAAUUUAUAAUACAACUUAAAUUUGAAGACUUCUUCAGGUCUCUUCAGGCAGGACUCUGGCUACAGAAAAUUACCUUGCAGUAGGGACAAGUGACAGAUACCAAUGCCAGGGCUGUUGCAAGGAAGCAGAUAAAACAUGAAGGGAAUAGCAUUAAAUGACUGAACAGAAUCCCCUCUUCUCCUGGCACUGACUUAGCUGUAACAUGGGACUACCUUGUGGAUACCGGGGUUCAGAGUAACUUACUCAGAAUGCAAAGCACUUCAAAACAGAAAUGAUAUUAAGAUCCUUUUCGUUAUGGAUCACGGGGGGACUUUGUUGCAAAGGACUACUUUUGAAGGGAGCCUUCAGUACAGAAGAGAAUAUGAAGCCUUCUAAGCUAGCAAUAAGACUAACAUCAUGGAACAAGUUACAUGGAAAAAUCCUGCUGGACAAUGAACUUAAAUGUCAUCGAAGCAGCAAGUUUCCCAAGUUGCCCUUACAGAUGAUUAAAGCCUGUUUACAGAGGUAAAGAAAAGCCUCUCUCUGAAUCUCCAAUUACUAAACAAGAAAGGAUGUAAGAUGUUUACAACGCAGUCAUCUCAUGUUCUACUUAGAAAACUCACAUACACAAAUAAUAGUAGACGAUUCAUUUAGAAGGACUUUAAGUAACAGCUUUAGCUGAAAACUGGCUAUCAACAUUCAAUGAAAAAGGAGAACAAAAACUUGAAGCUUGAUUCAAAAUAUUUCAUAAAGUUCUCUCUACUUUUUAA